Molecule: ribosomal RNA, 812 nt
Filed under: uncultured bacterium
Lineage: Bacteria
Description: bacterial SSU rRNA
Rfam family: Bacterial small subunit ribosomal RNA
Source: RNAcentral
AGAGUUUGAUCAUGGCUCAGGACGAACGCUGGCGGCGUGCUUAACACAUGCAAGUCAAGGGGAAAGUCAUCUUCGGGUGGCGAGUAUACUGGCGGACGGGUGANNNACGCGUAGGUGACCUGCCCUUAAGUUUGGGAUAACCCUGCGAAAGCGGGGCUAAUACCGGAUGUGGUGCAGAUGAUGCAUAUUAUUUGUAUUAAAGUUGCUUGGGGUGACCCGGGUAACGCUUAGGGAUGGGCCUGCGUUCCAUUAGCUAGUUGGUAGGGUAAAGGCCUACCAAGGCGACGAUGGGUAGCUGGUCUGAGAGGACGAUCAGCCACACUGGGACUGAGAUACGGCCCAGACUCCUACGGGAGGCAGCAGUGGGGAAUAUUGCGCAAUGCCCGCAAGGGUGACGCAGCGACGCCGCGUGGGUGAAGAAGCUCUACGGAGUGUAAAGCCCUGUCAGAGGGGAAGAACGGCUUGGAUUCGUAAGGGUUCAGGUGUGACGGUACCCUCAGAGGAAGCUCCGGCUAACUCCGUGCCAGCAGCCGCGGUAAUACGGGGGGAGCAAGCGUUGUCCGGAAUCACUGGGCGUAAAGGGCGCGUAGGCGGGCGAUCGAGUCAGAUGUAAAAGGCAACGGCUCAACCGUUGUAUGUCAUCUGAUACUGAUUGUCUUGAGUUCGAGAGAGGGUGGUGGAAUUCCCGGUGUAGCGGUGAAAUGCGUAGAUAUCGGGAAGAACACCUGAUGCGAAGGCGGCCACCUGGUUCGAUACUGACGCUGAGGCGCGAAAGCGUGGGGAGCAAACAGGAUUAGAUACCCUAGUAGUCC